UAUCAUGUCAUUUUAUAUGUGGUGUAUGUUUGAAUUGGACUAUCGGAGGACGAAAUUCAAGUUAUCCAAAUACAAUGGAAGACGACAACCUCGACGCAGACUGAGAAUACGGUUAGUGAUUACGAUUAUCUAUCGUAGCUAAUUUAUAGGAUUAAAGGAAUGUAUGAGCAUGUAGAAUAAGUAUUGAUUAGGAUUGAACCAUGCCUUAACUAUUGAUGUUUGGUUUUAGCUUGUCUGAGUUAUGACUUAGUUGAUGUUUGGUUUUUACUUGUCGGACUGAUUGCUUCUGUAGGUUUAUCGUAAAGAUAGAAUUGUAUUUCAGAAAAUUAAAAAAACAUAAUAGAGUGAAAUGAACAAAGAGAAUUCACACGCAGGUCAAAAACUGAAGUUUUACAAUCUUAUUGAAAUGAACGUUUGAUUUAACAAAUAAUAAAAUGCAGUUUGCAUCUAUUAAAACAAUCUUUCUGAACCAGCAACCACUCUUCCACCAACACAAACCUGGAAAGAGCAAAAGUGGACAUAACACCAGUUAAAAUUAAUUUUAAUUAUUUUUCUUUAAUAGAUAUAUAAGAACAAACACAUAGGAAUCUGAACUUUUUAAAGAACACAUACAAACAUAAAACGUAUAACAUCUAAUCGAUUAGGAUCACAUAUCUUAUCCCCCGCCAGCUAAAGGUUGUCGAAAACUUCUUUAAAAACUACAUUCAUAGUUUUUUUUUGUGUUUUUCCAUCUUUGUCCACAAUCAAAAUUUUUAAUCCUUUUUUUGAAGUGAUUCUAGAAACAGCCACAUAUAGCUGACCAUGUGAAAAGAAAGGUCUUGGUAGAUACAUACCUACUUGAGAUAGUGAUUGUACUUGGCUUUUGUUGAUUGUUAUGGCAAAAGCCACAGCAAGAGGCAGUUGCAUUCUCCACAUUUUAAAAGGCAAUCUGGUGUCAGAAGGGGUUAUCAACAAUCUAGGAAUAUCAACUAUUUCCCCAACUCUUUCUCCUGUUAUAAUCCUAGCUCGAACCAUAAAAUCCAUUAGAUGUGUGAUCUGCAAUCUGGUGCCAUUCAUUAAGCCGUCUGUAGGAGCUAUGUUUCUCAAACCAUAACAGGACAACCAACCUUCAGUCUAAGACUAUGGUUUGGUAAACCAGAAACCUUAAUAGUGUUCAGAAAAUCAGAACUAAGUGCUUCAUUGUUUACUGAAUUUGUAUCUGAAGGAUCAAUACUAUCAGCACUGUUAUAAAUUUUUUCCUCACCUGAAAUUGAAAACAUAUUUUAGGAGAAUUAGACUUACAAAUAUAGUGGACGCAGAAACAAUAAGUGAAGAAUAGAAAUUUACCAUUUAGCUUAUCCAACAUAUAAUCAUUAACAAUAUUCAUAUCCUCAUUGGUUGGACAAAGAAUAGCUCUCUCUUGGAAAACUUGGCCUCUUUUUUUUCAUGCAAUGUUGUUGAAUCACCAUAAAUAGCUUUGCGGAUUGCUUCUAUAGGAUCAUCUGACUUGGUAAUAAGAAAUUCAGUGGGUAUUUCAACCUCUGCUUCCCCAUCAUUAGGCUCAGAAAGUUUACCAUCUUCAACUUUCAAAAUCCACUCUGAAAAUUCUUUUAGAUCCUUUGACUCUUCAAGUGAUAAACCACCAGAGAGCUAUCUCAUAUUCUUAGUCAAAUUAAGCACUUUGCAGUUAUCCCAUAGAUAUGAAGAGUUAAGUGUGGCCAUAACAAUUUCAGCUCUACCAGCUCCAUUUAUAACAGGCAAGACCUGCCUAAAAUCGCCUCCGAAACAACAACUUUUCCCUCAAAUGGCUGUGUGUCGUGCUUUCCCACAAUAUCAGAUAAACUUCUGUCCAACGCUUCAAAACAAUGCUUGCUCAUCAUAGGCGCUUCAUCCCAGAUAACAAGUGAUGAUGCUUUCACUAAAUUAGAUUGGUCAGUUCCAUGCUUCCUAGUACAUGAGGAAAACUCAUAUGGAUUUAGAGGAAUACCGAAUCUUGAAUGAGCUGUCCGACCGCCUUGCAACAACAAUGAUGCGAUGCCACUUGAAGCCACGUUUAGAACAAUAUCUCCUCGAGAUCUAAUGGCUGCAGAUAGCAAUUUCCAGAGGAAAGUUUUCCCAGUUCCACCAAAACCGCUAACAAAAAACAAUCUCUAGUAAAGCAUACUUCUUUUUUUUCGUCAUCGCUCAGCAAUAGACCUAAAAUUAAAAUAAAAAGGACAGGUGUUGGGGUCAAAAACGGUUACGACAAAUUUAACAUUUAAAACGUCCGAGGAAGAAAAUAAGAAUUUCUCCGAAGAGUACUUUUCGAAAUAGAUUCUUCCUUACGAAAAAGCUUUACGGAAGAAAGAAUCGAGAUGUCCGACGAAAGAUCGAAACAUGUCGUUACGCCGCGACCAAACGUCCGUCCCGCUCGGUCGCUACGUAGCGACUGAGCGAUCGUCCCGCUCGGUCGCUACGUAGCGACCGAGCGAUCAUCCCGCUCGGUCGCUACGUAGCGACCGAGCGAUCAUCCCGCUCGGUCGCUACGUAGCGACCGAGAUCGAGCCAAAGCUCGGUCGCUACGUAGUGACCGAGCGCUUGUCCCGCUCGGUCGCUACGUAGUGACCGGGCUAGAGCCGAAGUUCGGUCGCUGUGUAGCGAUUGAACUCUUCCGAACAUCGACAUACAUCAAUCCAUGCAUUCUCGUCAAACCUUCGAAUGCUAUCUCCCGAAAACCGUAGCAAGUUCAGUCCAUGUUUUCCGCUAUUCUAACUCAUCGAUCAAACUUCGCGGAUUAGAAACCGCGGAAGGUUCGUUCUUUAUCAAAAAGAUAUCGUAGUAAACGUGUCGAGUCGGAAGACGGCCUAAAGGGACCUAAAACAAGACUCGAGGCCCAUCCUACGAUUUCUUAACCAAAAGCCUGUAAAUCGCAGCACGGUUUACGCUUGGCCCACAAGGAAGGAUAAAUGUCAAGUUUCGCGGAUAAAUACGGAAGUUUUGAAGAUAAUUGUGAAGAUCGGGAAAAAUGGAAUAUCUCCAUUUUUAUGCUAUGACGACUUAAGGGCAGAAGAGUAAAAGCGUAAACCGACCUUGGAGCUAGUAUAUAAGGAGUCCUAGGCGAGGAGCAUGAAAGGAGAACUUUUUCAGAGCAAACUUAGCACUUAGAGCAAUUUAGGCAAUUUUCCGUUUUUGUUAUUUCGAGCUGCGACUCAAUUAGGUUUAGCCGUCUUAGGGUUACUAGAACUAGGAAUCUCGCCGAUAGCUCUCGAGCCCAGGCUUAUACCUUGUUGUAAACAGCCGUACGCAAAUUCGGAAUAAGAUCUUCUUUGCUCUCUUUUUCGAUUUCUUAUACUUUAUCGUUGUUAUUCUCGUGUUCUGAUUGCUUGACGUGUGGUAAUUAGCAGAUAUCCGGGUCCUCUGGGAAAUUAGGGUUUUCCUAAUUUCCUUAUUUAAACGUAAAUCGACAGUGCGAAUUUCGGUUCCCACUGUUUGGCGCUAAAAGGAGGGGGACUUACGGAUCAAUCUAACCCGCAAUAGCCACUCAACGAUCAAGAACGGUAUGCAAGAUUCGAUGUGUGCGAACAUCAUCUCAUUCAAGGGGGGAGAAACGAUUGAUCGAGCCAAACCUCGAAACGAUCUCCUUGUUAUUGAGUUGACGAUUCGAGAUAUCAACGUCGCUAGAGUGCUAAUCGAUACCGGAAGCUCGGCCGAUAUCAUCUUCAAAGACACUCUUGAAAAGAUGGGGAUCAAUCAAUCCGAAGUCACGAAAUGCCCAAGCCCACUGCUAGGACUUUCGGGGGAAACGACCAUGGCCUAUGGAUCGAUUAGACUCGCUGUCAAAGCCGGAACCGUGACCAACGUCACAGAGUUUCUAGUCGUUGACCGCCCCGCAUCUUACAACGUUAUCAUGGGAACGCCAUGGCUGAACACCAUGCGCGCAAUCCCAUUAACCUACCAUCUUUGCCUCAAGUUCCCGACCCCUAGCGGAGUCGAGGUAAUUUGGGGAAAUCCGAGAGUUUCACAGGUUUGUUUCGCCGCGGAACUAAAACGAAAGAGACCGAUCCUCGAAAUCACUCCUAGAAAAGCGGAGAAAAAGACCUCCAGGAAAGAUACACGAAGUCAGGAUUCAGCGGAAUUCUUCUGGCAGUCUCGCAGCAUCGCAGCUCUAGAUGAAAAACGCGAGCCAACGUGCGAACCCGUGGUAACGAUCUGUCUCGACGAAGCCUUCCCAAAACGCUGCAUCGAGAUUGGAGCCAAUCUCCAUGAGCCUUUAAGGACAGAACUCAUAACCUGUCUUAAAAAGAACCUUAUUACUUUCGCAUGGGCUGCGGAAGAUAUGCCGGGAAUCGACAUUAACAUAACAUGUCACGAGCUGAAUAUCGACCCAACGUUCAAACCCGUCAAACAGAAAAGAAGGAAGCUAGGACCCGAACGUGCUGCCGCAGUAAACGAUGAGGUCGAAAAAUUGCUUAAAGUUGGGUCGAUAACAGAAGUAAGAUACCCGGACUGGCUCGCCAACCCCGUAGUAGUCAAGAAGAAGAACGGGAAGUGGCGAGUUUGCGUGGAUUUUACCAACCUAAACAAGGCAUGUCCAAAGGAUAGCUUCCCUCUACCACAUAUCGAUCGAUUGGUAGAAGCAACAGCGGGCAACGAACUCUUAUCCUUCAUGGAUGCCUUCUCAGGUUAUAAUCAAAUUAGGAUGAAUCCCGACGAUCGUGAGAAGACUGCGUUCAUUACCGAUCGCGGAACUUAUUGCUAUAAGGUAAUGCCCUUCGGCCUCAAAAACGCUAGUGCAACUUACCAACGACUCGUGAACCGAAUGUUCUCCAAACAACUCGGAAAAACGAUGGAGGUUUAUAUCGACGACAUGCUCGUCAAAUCCCUCAAAGCAAGAGAUCACGUGUCACAUCUGGAAGAAUGUUUUGCACAACUAAACUCCCAUAAUAUGAAGCUCAACCCAACAAAAUGUAGAUUCGCCGUGGCAUCAGGGGAAUUCCUCGGCUACUUGGUCACAUACCGCGGCAUCGAAGCAAAUCCAAAACAGAUCAACGCACUAAUCGAGAUGGCUUCACCAAAGAAUAAGCGGGAAUUCCAAAGACUGACCGGCAGAAUCGCAGCGCUUAACCGAUUUAUUUCACGAUCAACAGAUAAGUGCCUGCCCUUCUACGACGUCCUGCGAGGAAAUAAAAAAUUCGAAUGGUCGGAAGAAUGCAAAAACACCUUCCAACAGCUGAAGCGUUAUUUAGCUACUCCUCCAGUCCUCGCAAAACCCGUGGAAGGGGAGCCUUUAUUCUUGUACAUCGCUGUGUCGGCAACGGCCGUAAGCGGAGUCCUGAUCAGGGAAGAACGCGGGGAGCAGAAACCUAUUUUUUACAUAAGCAAAACCUUGCUGGAUGCCGAAUCUAGGUAUCCGUUGAUGGAAAAAUUGGCAUGCGCGGUCGUAACAUCGGCCCAAAAACUAAGACCAUAUUUCCAAUCCCACACAAUCGUCAUCCUCACGACUUUUCCCUUACGGACAAUUUUGCAUAGCCCAAGUCAAUCAGGCCGACUGGCUAAGUGGGCGGUCGAGUUAAGCGAGUAUGACAUCGAAUACCGACCAAGGACGAGGGCAAAAUCACAAGUGCUCGCAGAUUUCUUGGUCGAUCUUCCAACGGGAACAAUAACCAAUGAUGAACCAAAUUCCACCUGGCUCCUCCACGUCGACGGAUCCUCAUCCAAGCAAGGAUCAGGAAUCGGAAUCUGUCUCACAUCUCCAACGAGCGAGAUUUUGGAACAAUCGUUCAGGCUGGAAUUCCAUGCCUCAUACAACGAGGCCGAAUACGAAGCAUUAAUCGCGGGUCUACGUUUGGCUCACGGCUUAAAAAUACGUAAUCUCCACGCUUACUGCGACUCCCAGUUAGUGGCCAGUCAAUUCAGCGGAGAGUAUGAAGCCAGAGACGAAAGGAUGGACGCGUACCUCAAACUUGUCCAAGGUCUAGCUCAAGACUUCGACUGUUUCGCCCUUACCCGGAUCCCCCGUUCCAAGAAUGUCCAGGCGGACGCCCUCGCGGCCCUAGCAUCAAGUUCCGAUCAAGGACUCAAAAGGGUAAUUCCGGUCGAAUUCAUCGAAAAUCCGAGCAUCGGACCACCAAUCGUCGUCAAUCUCAUAGAGGGUCAAGACGACGAGGAAGAAAAAAUUACGAUAUCACCACCAUCGGAGCGAUCUGAGCACGGCUGUGAUACCCCAUGGCUUCAGACGAUUUGAGACUACAUUGUCGAUGGGCAACUGCCCGCCGAAAAAUGGGCAGCUCGCAAGUUCCGAACACAUGCCGCACGCUACGUAACAGUGGAUGGUGAAAUCUACAAAUGGAGAUUCUCCGGACCACUCAUGACGUGCCUGGAAGGAGAAAAGGCGAGAAAAGUAAUGGAGGAAAUACAUUCCGGCGGAAGAUCACUAGCCAUGAAAAUCAAACGCCAUGGAUACUAUUGGCCAACAAUGAUCGGAGAUUGCGAGAAAUUCGCACGAAAAUGCGAAAAAUACCAAAGGCAUGCACCAACCAUCCGACAACCGGCCGAAGUUCUUUCCUCCAUCACAUCGCCUUAUCCCUUUAUGCGCUGGGCCAUGGAUAUUGUCGGACCUCUGCAUAAUUCAAAGCAAAAGCAUUUCCUUCUAGUCCUUACCGAUUUUUUUCUCAAAAUGGGUAGAGGCGGACUCAUACGCAAGUAUAAAAGACGUCCAAGUCGAGAAUUUCGUAUGGAGAAACAUCGUCUGUUGGCAUGGAGUUCCUUACGAGAUCGUAACCGAUAACGGGUCUGAGUUCAUCUCCACCCGAUUCGAGGCAUUCUGCGAAAAAUGGAAGAUACGACUCAACAAGUCAACCCCCAGAUAUCCGCAGUGCAACGGACAGGCUGAAACAAUCAACAAGACCAUUCUCGACGGACUGAAGAAACGCUUAGAGGCCAAAAAAGGCAGAUGGGCCGACGAACUCGAGGGAGUCCUCUGGUCUCACCGUACCACCCCAAGGCGAGCAACGGGAGAAACGACCUUCGCUCUGGUAUACGGCACGGAAUGCAUGAUUCCCGCAGAAGUAGAAUUUCCCGGUGUUCGAAGAAGGUUAUUACCCGAACGAGAGGAACUCAACGAUGCUAUGCUCUUGGAUGAUCUCGUCCUCAUUAACGAACGCCGAGAUCGACCGCUCAUCCGAAUUCAAAACUACCAGCACGCCGCUGCAAAAUACUAUAAUUCCAACGUACAGAAUCGUAGGUUCAAUCAGGGAGAUCUGGUCCUUCGCAAAGUCUUCCAAAACACCGCUGAACGAAACGCGGGAAAACUCGGAGCAAACUGGGAAGGUCCCUAUAAAAUCGAAAAAAACGUCCGACCAGGUUCUUACGAAAUAGCCAACAUGCAGGGCAUAAAAAUCCCUAGAACCUGGAACGCGAUGCAUCUCAAAAAAUACUAUCACUAAAUAAACCAACUCGCAAUCACUGAACUACGGGACGGCUUGAUCUACGCAAAGAGUACGUAGGCAAUUUGUCGAAAGGCAAAUUCAGCUGUCCCCCCUCAUUAAAAAGGGGGGGGGGAGUUGGUACGUAUACUCGCAUACUCCCAAAAAAAUCAAAAAAACUUCUUACCACGCUCUUGGUGUUUUUGACUUAUCAAAACAUCCUCACCCGUAAAAUCAGAACGAGGUCUUCAGAAAUUAGUCGGCCGCUUAGGAGACGUCGCAAAAGAUGCCUCAACGUUUAUUUCUUCCGAGCAAACGAAACCUCCGUAACAAAAAAGACAUAUAUAUGCACACACUAACACUUAUUUUGCGCAAAAUAUUCAAAACAACGGCACACGCCACCAAGUCCGAUGCUGAUCACAUCGAACUCACAAACGUCCUAAACAGACAUAGCCAUCUCACGGAGAUGACUCUCUUACAUCCGACACAAGGAUAAUAGCGUUAUAAAAGAAAUCCAAAAUUUUGGUCUAGCACUUCCGGUCUCCGGAGAGAUGCUCGAUUCAUAUCAAACAAGUCGUAUAAGCCGAGAACCUAUCGCGGACUUUACAUCGAUACGAAUCAGGAAGAAAUCGCGACAGGAAAAACGAUAGCCAGUUAGUCACCGCACAAUCCUUAAACCGAAAGUAAACCUAGGUCUUGCCCUAAACCCAGCGCACUGGUCUCUAACAUCUCAAUGACAUGAUAUCUAAAGAUAAGAGAUUCUUAAACUAUGCCUCUAUGUUUAUGUUUGACACCUUCAGCACCCACGCAGAGUUCACAUCUCGCGGAAGAACUCUCGAAACAGAUCUCGAAUGAAAUAUUUCACAAUCGAAGAAGGAUAUGAGACGACAACUCAUCACCUUCCUCCCCACUAUUCACAAACUCAUAAAAAGCGUUAUCCGAUUAUCGUACCAUAAAAAGAAAGCCGCGGAGCGGCAGGGAUUCAAAGCCACACACGGCCAGUCCCGAAAUACAAACAAGGCCAUUUAAGGCCGAAACAUAAAAACAUAAAAAAAAUCUCUCGCAAGAGAUCUAACCCAAGUCAUCCUCAGAACUUACGCCCCCUCUUCACCCGCUGCCGCGUCCGAGCCUGGAGCCGCGCCACCUCCGUUUUCUCCGACAUCGGGUCUUUCCCUCUGGGUCUUCUGAACAUGUCGGAAGGAAGCACGCGGAUUUCAGGUCGGCCAGGAUGAGACCGAAAUCUCCAUCCUCGGCCGCCAUAUCUCCCUUGCAGCCGGACAGCCGGGCCUCUUCGGCCUCCAAGGUCGGGGGAGUCUCACUUUGGAACGACCGAACCACGACCAUCCCACCCUCAAUCGUCACCAAAGCUAGAUCCCUGCUCCGGAUACACUCGAGGGAACCCAGGGAAGCAGAAACCUUUGCCAAGCGAGCUUGAAACUCCGCGCGAAGGGUAUCCGUAGCCUCUUGGAUCCCACGGCGCGCUAGCCCCGCGUCACUCUCGAUCUGACGCUGGAGUCGACGCACCUCCGAGGAUUUGGCCUUCCUGGCCUUCUUUUCCUUAAGCAAGGAACUCGCCGUCUUCCCAAGGUCCCUCUCAAGCUCUCCUAUCACAACCUCGAGCUUCGACACUUUCGCAGAGUGAGAGUCCUCCACAGCCAUCAACAUGGCCUCGGUUUCGGACCAUCUGCCCUGAAGCUCCACCAACUCCCCGGAAAGGCGACUGGUCUCAGAACCACAUUCGCUGAUCAUCCCAUCGAUCAACGAUAUGAACUGGGAACGGUGAAAAUUCUUAAGACUAAGUCCGAGAAAAGAAUGCACAAAAGACGAUCGAGAAUUCAAACAAGAGACAAACCUUUCCGCGAAGUCCCGAUGCUAGGCUCGAUCCACCUCGCUGCGAAGUCUCCCCGUCACCACUCUUGGCAAGUUUCCUCUUCCGACUCUUAGGCUGAGUAGCUAGGACAGCGCUAGGAGCACGCAAUGCCAGAACGAUUUCUUUUCUGGCUGGAGGAGGAGGCAUAGAGUCAGCAGCCUUCUCCUUGUCCUCGACGAGGAUCGGAGUCGUGGAAGAUCCCGCAGGUAGGGCUUGCGGGAGAGGAGCCAUGACUUCGGUCCCAUGACACGGGGCAACGACCUGCACGGAAGAAGAUGGAAACUCGGAGCCAGCUUGAGCUAGUUCUUUCUCGGCUUGGCGACGAACCAGUUUCUCUCGGAAAGAAAGAUGACCGGCAACACAAGCCGGCGCUUCCGCUGGAGAAGUUAGAACCGGAGCCGGAGAAGUGGCCUCGCCCAUCUCGACAUCAGAAUCCUUCUUAUCACCUUGGGAGGAAGACAUGUUGAAAGGAAAGUUAUGAAACUAGAGAGGUUUUUGAAGGAAUGAAGAAGGGAAGGUGUGAAGAAAAUGAAUGACAAGAGCUCACUACGUAUAGAAGUAUGGGUUCGGAAUAUCGUCGCGACAACUUUUUUCCGCGGAGUUUAAAAUGUGAAUUUCGUCUAAUACACUUAAACUUGUCAAAGUCAUCUAUCCGCCCGCUAGAGUCACAACUCUAACGGGCUGGGGGGCAAACUGUUGGGGUCAAAAACGGUUACGACAAAUUUAACAUUUAAAACGUCCGAGGAAGAAAAUAAGAAUUUCUCCGAAAAGUACUUUUCGAAAUAGAUUCUUCCUUACGAAAAAGCUUUACGGAAGAAAGAAUCGAGAUGUCCGACAAAAGCUCGAAACAGGUCGUUACGCAGCGACCGAACGUCCGUCCCGCUCGGUCGCUACGUAGCGACCGAGCGAUCGUUCUGCUCGGUCGCUACGUAGCGACCGAGCUCGAGCCAAAGCUCGGUCGCUACGUAGCGACUGAGCGAUAGUCCCGCCCGGUCGCUACGUAGCGACCGAGCUCGGCCAAGCUCGGUCGCAACGUAGCGACCGGGCUCGAGCCGAAGUUCGGUCACUGUGUAGCGAUUAAACUCUUCCGAACAUCGACAGACAUCAAUCCAUGCAUUCUCGUCAAACCUUCGAAUGCUAUCUCCCGAAAACCGUAGCAAGCUCAGUCCAUGUUUUCCGCUAUUCUAACUCAUCGAUCAAACUUCGCGGAUUAGAAACCGCGGAAGGUUCUUUCUUUAUCAAAAAGAUAUCGUAGUAAACGUGUCGAGUCGGAAGACGGCCCAAAGGGACCUAAAACACGACUCGAGGCCCAUCCCAUGAUUUCUUAACCAAAAGCCCGUAAACCGCAGCACGGUUUACGCUUGGCCCACAAGGAAGGAUAAAUGUCAAGUUUCCGCGGAUAAAUACGGAAGUUUUGAAGAUAAUUGUGAAGAUCGGGAAAAAUGGAAUAUCUCCAUUUUUAUGCUAUGACGGCUUAAGGGCAGAAGAGUAAAAGCGUAAACUGACCUUGGAGCUAGUAUAUAAGGAGUCCUAGGCGAGGAGCAUGGGGGAGAACUUUUUGAGAGCAAACUUAGCACUUAGAGCAAUUUAGGCAAUUUUCCGUUUUUGUUAUUUCGAGCUGCGACUCACUUAGGUUUAGCCGUCUUAGGGUUACUAGAACUAGGAAUCUCGCCGAUAGCUCUUGAGCCCAGGCUAUAUUUUGUUGUAAACAGCCAUACGCAAAUUCGGAAUAAGAUCUUCUUUGUCUCUUUUUCGAUUUCUUAUACUUUAUCGUUGUUAUUCUCGUGUUCUGAUUGCUUGACAUGUGGUAAUUAGCAGAUAUCUGGGUCCUCUGGGAAAUUAGGGUUUUCCUAGUUUCCUUAUUUAAACGGAAAUCGACAGUGCGAAUUUCGGUUCCUACAACAGGCAAACAAAUAAAAUUAUUAGUUGCUUGCAGGACUAUCAUGUAGCAUUAUAGAAGUUUACUAUGCAAAAAAUAAAUGUUGACCUGGUCUAUUGAAAUUUUUUUCUCCUGCAGUGCUCUAUAUCUUCAGACAAAACCUCCCAAGUGUGUUCCCAUACAGUUUCCGGCUCAGAUAAAGUGUUACUCAUAAGCAUCAUAACAAAAAAAAUUCGUAGCUCACUUGCUGUGCUUUCAUAACUUCUUCUUAGUAUGUCAUCAAUGUAUUCCUGAUCAUCAUCUAAUAACCCA
Molecule: long non-coding RNA, 11443 nt
Filed under: Brassica rapa (field mustard)
Lineage: Eukaryota; Viridiplantae; Streptophyta; Magnoliopsida; Brassicales; Brassicaceae
Description: long non-coding RNA (BRAP_LNC002788)
Source: RNAcentral